GGGUGAGUGGCGGAAUAGGCAGACGCGUUGGAUUUAAAAUCCAAUGACUAUUAAUAGUUGUGCGGGUUCGAUUCCCGCCUUACCCA
This 86-nucleotide transfer RNA is filed under the name Planctomycetota bacterium. RNAcentral's name for it is "Planctomycetes bacterium (wastewater metagenome) tRNA-Leu". It matches the Rfam family "tRNA". From Rfam's summary of the family: Transfer RNA (tRNA) molecules are approximately 80 nucleotides in length. The record is from RNAcentral. Lineage: Bacteria; Pseudomonadati; Planctomycetota.